AUGUGUCCGGGUGUCCGAGGAUGUGGUGUGAUUUACCGGGAGCAAGGGAUGUGCCCGAGUUCCCGUGUCCCUCCUGGUGUGAUUUUCUUGGAGCAGGGGAUGUGCCCGAGUUCCCGUGCCCCUUUUGGUGUGAUUUACCCGGAGCAGGGGAUGUGCCCGAGUUCCCGUGCCCCUUUUGGUGUGAUUUACCCGGAGCAGGGGAUGUGCCCGAGUUCCCGUGCCCCUUUUGGUGUGAUUUACCCGGAGCAGGGGAUGUGCCCGAGUUCCCGUGCCCCUUUUGGUGUGAUUUACCCGGAGCAGGGGAUGUGCCCGAGUUCCCGUGCCCCUUUUGGUGUGAUUUACCCGGAGCAGGGGAUGUGCCCGAGUUCCCGUGCCCCUUUUGGUGUGAUUUACCCGGAGCAGGGGAUGUGCCCGAGUUCCCGUGCCCCUUUUGGUGUGAUUUACCCGGAGCAGGGGAUGUGCCCGAGUUCCCGUGCCCCUUUUGGUGUGAUUUACCGGGAGCAGAAGAUGUGCCCCAGUUCCCGUGCCCCUUUUGGUGUGAUUUACCGGGAGCAGAGGAUGUGCCCGAGUUCCCGUGCCCCCUUUUGGUGUGAUUUACAGGAGCAGGGGAUGUGCCCGAGUUCCCGUGCCCCUUUUGGUGUGAUUUACCAGGAGCAGAGGAUGUGCCCGAGUUCCCGUGCCCCUCCUGGGGGUUUAUUUCUCCUGGAGCUGUGUCUGCCUGUACACGCACACACACCCAGCAUUACACGUGCGAGCAGAGCUGAUCCUCCCUGCCAGCAGCACAGGGCUCCUGCCCGUUUAUCUGAGCUCCCCAAAACGUGUUCCUGUCCCUAGAGAAUCUUUAGGGUCCCUUCCAGCCCGGACCAUGCAGGGACUCUGCAUUUCUCGGAUUUUGCCAAGCUUUGUCCUCGCAGCUCUUUCCUCGCAGUGUUUGAUUUGUAACGAGACUGGUUUUAGUUUAGCAGGCUGGGGUUGGGGGGAGAUUUGGUGCUGGCUGUGGCUGAGUUUCCCUCUCACUUGUAACCUUCUCCCAGAGCUGUUUUCUCUCUGGAAGGUGAGGCUGCCUGCCCAGCAUCCUGUAGGGCUGGGUGAAGUUGCCCACCAGAACUGGGCUGUACCAUCAGUUCUUGGUUACAGGCCACCUGUGUUUGCUCUGCUGGGCUGGUGAGAGUGGCUGUGGUCACAGAGCCAUCAGAGAACUGUAGAAUGGUUGGAAAUAAAUAUCUGAUUCCAAAGCCCUGUCGACAGGACAGCUUUCAGAUGAUGCUCAGAGCAUCAUCCAGCCCGGUCUUAAAGCAGAGUCAGAACAACCAAGCUGAUUCUCAAAGAGUGGAAGUUAAUCCAGAUGUGUCAGUGCAUCACUUGUCUCCCUUUUCUUCUCCCUUUUCUUCUCCCCUUUCUUCUCCCCUUGUCCCACAACAAAUUAAACAAAUGGGUUUAAUUGAAAUUUUUUUUUGGCUGCCACCAUGAGCCACCCACCCAUCUGCAUUGCCAAGGACUUUCUUAGAGGAUGAGCAGGUUGGGAAAAAGGAUUAAAUUGCUUUAAAAAAUGACCAGGCAAUCAGUUCUUGGAAUUCUACAGAGCUUGCUUUAGGGAAGAUCCAAAAUAGCCCAUGUGUCCAGGGCUGGUGCUGGGGAAAGGAGAAGGGGGCAGCGUUCUCAUCAGCUGCUGGAGCUGCUCCAAUUCUUUCUUCCACUGAACCCCUUGGCAAAAUUCCCAUUUCUUUAAAGAUUGUUGGCACGAGGAGCUCCUCUGGGGCCGGAUCCUGCAGAGGGUGGGGUCACACAGCUGCUGAAGUCCACCCUGCCAGGGGUUGCCAUCAAUAAUGACAAACCCCUAAAGCUGUGGGGCAGCACAAGGCACAGGCUGGGUGCAAUCCUGUAACUGCUUCCUUUCCAACCCUUUUAUUACUCCGUUGUUGUUAAUGUUCCUGGGAUCUGGUUCACGCUGGUGGGUUAAAAAGAUUCACAUGCUCCUUAUCAGCACUGAUCUGCAAGGUGACUAACACUGAACUGCCUCAGCGCUGGAGAAAAUCCCUGUUUUUUUUUUCUCAGCUUAAACCUGGGAUUUGCUGCUUAUUUUUAAAGCAAAAGUAGCUCUGCAGUCAUGACCUGGCUUUGGGACCUGUGGUGGCCCAGCACAGCUUGGUUGGUUUGGGUUCCUUUUGUAUAAUUUAUUGUGAUCAAUUUUCUGGUACGUCCUUGGGGGAAAAAAAAAUUCUGAACAAGUGGCUGAUCAACAUUGGUACGUCCUUGGGGAAAAAAAAAAUUCUGAACAAGUGGCUGAUCAACAAGUUCAGCGCCAUAAAACUGUUGCAGCCAUGUGGUUUCUAAUUGCUGUUGUAAACUUUCACCUCUCAUCAUGCACGCUGUGCAGAAGAGGGAAUUGGGCAGAUCUCAUUUGCUGCAGUUCAUCAGGCCACGCUCACCAAAGUCCUGCCCUCCUGCCAGGGGCAGCUUUGAAAAGUUGGAAUAAAAGUGUUAACAGUGGUGGUGUGGACGUGCUGUAAAUGCACAUUCCCUUUUAGGUUCUUCCGUGUUGGUUUUAGGGGUGUAAUUAAGAUAAUUUGGCCUGAAGAGCUACAAAUUAGACACUUUCUUUUUUUCUCCAGUGUGUGUCUAGAACAUGAGAUGGGGAUAAUUUGAAGCAGUUGGUGGAUUCCACGUGCCUUCAGACUUCAAACUCCUUGAAUUAGCCAGAUCUGCCCAGCUGGUGCAAUUUGUGCUUUUCUUCAGAGCUUUGCUCUGUUCCAGCCUUGAAGUAGGUUUGUGAUGGAAAAGAAUGAAACAACUCAGAUCUGAUUCUUCAUCAGUCCGAGUGCAAGUGCUGGAAAUGUGAACAGUGUGGAAAAAAAAAAAUCAGUGAAAUCUGAGCUCACAGGACAAACACUUCAGCUGUGUCUGCGUCUCUUUCCUCCUGUCAUUGAUUGAGAAUCUGUGAAGGGGGAUAAAUAUAAUUUAAACAAAACAACCACUGGUUUUGGCCAAAGGACAAGGUGCUCACUGGAAUCCUCCAGCCCAGUUCCUGCAUCCAGCACAAAAACCCUUUAGCAAUAACAUGUGUUUAACAAAGGCCUUGCCACAAAUCCCGAGUGUGUGAUUUAUUCCAUUUAUGCUUGUAUAAAUGCAUGACUGACUUUAUUCAGGAGAACCAGUUGCCCAACCCUGUGUCUGGGUGGCUCUGAAAGCCUCUCUAUAAAGCUGAAAGUUUUCAGAGAGGACACAUGAUCAGCAGUAAUAAUAUUGUGACAGUUCUUACUUAGGGCAUAAGAGGGCAAAAUUGUAAAUUAGGGUGGGGGAAACAAUAUCUGAGGGGAAAAAAACGUGCUGGAGAAAAUAUUUAAAGCUGUUUCUGAAUAUUCUGAAAAUAUUUAAAGCUGAACCCUGAAAGCCUCUCUGCCUCUCUAUAAAGCUGAAAGUUUUCAGAGAGGACACAUGAUGAGCAAUAAUAAUAUUGUGGGAGCUCUUAUUUAGGGCAUAGAAAGGCAAAAUUGUAAAAUAGAGGAGGAAACGGUAUCUGAGGGGAAAAAACGUGCUGGAGACAAUAUUUAAAGCUAUUUCAAGCUGUGUUUUACUCCAGCUCACCAGCACAUCAGCAGGGGCAUUGACACCAUCAUUAUCACAUCCUCCCUGCAGCCCUGGGGCCUGUCUCCAGCAGGGAACUCCGGCCAGCCAGGAAUUGUGAUGGGCUGGAAAAGCAGAGUCCAGCAGGGUGUUAGUUAAAAAGAGGGAUUUUUUAGCAGACACACAGCUCAGCAGGCAGGUGGGACCAUGGACAGGGAAAGUGCCUGGGUUGUGAAUUUGGGGUGUGGAGGUGCAUUUACCUCGUUUUUACAGCACUUUAAAAAUAUUUUUGCUUUUUCCAGCCCCUCACUGUUGUAGCAGUGAGAGGUGUGAGAGCCAGAGGGCUGCUCCAGAUAGAAAUGCAAAUUCAGGUGGGUUGCAUUUUGUCCUGAGGGUGACAAAACAUUUUGUUCUUGUUCUCAGUGUUUUACAGUGACUCUGUUGAGUGGGGGUUUUGUCUCUUUGCACUUGGCUUUCCAAGGAAGGAGCAGGGGGAUGCAGAGCAGGGGGAUGCUCUGCUUAUUUGACAAGUGGAGAGUGAGUGAGUGAGUGGUGGCACCGUGUCAGGAGAGAGGUGUUUCAGCUGCCUGGGAAAUGGCAAACAUGCAGAGUUUCUAUUCAUUUGUGGCACCUUGUCAGGAGAGAGGUGUUUCAGCUGCCUGGGAAAUGGCAAACAUGCAGAGUUUCUAUUCAUUUUCAGGGGGGAAAAAGGAAAAAAAAAAUGGAGCUUUUUGCCUUUACCAGAUGGUCUCCAGCAGAAACAACUGGAGAGACUGGUGACUUGUCAAAAUCAGUCUUCCACAUGACAUGCUGAUAGUCUGGGAGGACUGGGAAUUUUCUGGUGUUUGGGCUAGAAUGUGAGCACAAAUCUCUUGGAACAGAGGGAAGAGGGGCAGGAGGGAGAUCUCCCUGUCCAGCAUCAAGUGUCCCAUUUAUUGCCAGCCUGGGCAAGGGCACCAGACACUGUGAGAUCAACAAGACCUGAGAUUUCAUGGUCUUUUUUUAAGUCAGACUUGAGUGUACUUGGAGGAGAUUUGUCACACUCUGAGUGGCUGAAAUUCAGGAAAGGGCUCAGCUUAUCUGUGCAGAAAGAAAACUCUAAGCCAGGCUUUGGUGGGGAGCAGGAUUCAGCUGGGUUUUAGACCUGCCCUCAGACCAGGUCAGCACCAGCGUGGCAGUGUCACUUCUCUGCUACAAAUGGGGUCCCUGCUGCAUCACCCUGCCUCAGGGGACAUGGAUUUGUGGUUUUCCAAUGCCUGGGAAAGGCUGUGGUAUUAAAUAUAGCCCCACUCCCUGCUCUCAUCAACUCUCGCUCUUCUGCAUUGGAAAGAAGAGGAAAGUCCCUUGUGAGAAUCAAAAUCUAGGAAAUGCAGCCUAGAAAAAAUCCCAGGUCAGGGGCCAAAACCACAGACAGAACGAGCUGGAGGUGAGUGGAGAGCCCAGAGCAGGAGUGGCAGGAGUUGUGCCCAGCAGGAUGGACAGACAGGCUGGCACAGGUUUGUCCUCCUGUCCUGCCCUGUGCAGCCAGGCUGGUUCCCCUCUGGAUGCUGAGUGCAGCUGCUCCUCUGCUCCUUCCCUUCCACGCUCCCAGAUGUUUUCCAGAAGUCAAA
This is a long non-coding RNA of Ficedula albicollis (Collared flycatcher), 5174 nucleotides long. Lineage: Eukaryota; Metazoa; Chordata; Aves; Passeriformes; Muscicapidae. The record is from Ensembl.